This 353-nucleotide ribosomal RNA is filed under the name Klebsiella pneumoniae. RNAcentral's name for it is "bacterial LSU rRNA". It matches the Rfam family "Bacterial large subunit ribosomal RNA", at positions 750 to 1099 of the family's 2925-position model. The record is from RNAcentral. Lineage: Bacteria; Pseudomonadati; Pseudomonadota; Gammaproteobacteria; Enterobacterales; Enterobacteriaceae.
GGUUGGGUAACACUAACUGGAGGACCGAACCGACUAAUGUUGAAAAAUUAGCGGAUGACUUGUGGCUGGGGGUGAAAGGCCAAUCAAACCGGGAGAUAGCUGGUUCUCCCCGAAAGCUAUUUAGGUAGCGCCUCGUGAAUUCAUCUUCGGGGGUAGAGCACUGUUUCGGCUAGGGGGGUCAUCCCGACUUACCAACCCGAUGCAAACUACGAAUACCGAAGAAUGUUAUCACGGGAGACACACGGCGGGUGCUAACGUCCGUCGUGAAGAGGGAAACAACCCAGACCGCCAGCUAAGGUCCCAAAGUCAUGGUUAAGUGGGAAACGAUGUGGGAAGGCACAGACAGCCAGGAU